GUGGGCUCUGCUCCCUCAAGCA
RNAcentral lists this small nuclear RNA (22 nucleotides) under Arabidopsis thaliana (thale cress). RNAcentral describes it as "snRNA_05743". Lineage: Eukaryota; Viridiplantae; Streptophyta; Magnoliopsida; Brassicales; Brassicaceae. The record is from RNAcentral.